This is a non-coding RNA of Cordylochernes scorpioides, 79 nucleotides long. Lineage: Eukaryota; Metazoa; Arthropoda; Arachnida; Pseudoscorpiones; Chernetidae. The record is from the annotation of a GenBank genome assembly.
GCUCUUUAAUGUUGAUAUAGAUGGUCUAAACUGUUGGUUUUCGACCGCUACGACCCGGGUUCGAUUCCCGCAUUGGGCA